RNAcentral lists this ribosomal RNA (1320 nucleotides) under Escherichia coli. RNAcentral's name for it is "partial 23S ribosomal RNA". It matches the Rfam family "Bacterial large subunit ribosomal RNA", at positions 1 to 1361 of the family's 2925-position model. Lineage: Bacteria; Pseudomonadati; Pseudomonadota; Gammaproteobacteria; Enterobacterales; Enterobacteriaceae. The record is from RNAcentral.
GUUAAGCGACUAAGCGUACACGGUGGAUGCCCUGGCAGUCAGAGGCGAUGAAGGACGUGCUAAUCUGCGAUAAGCGUCGGUAAGGUGAUAUGAACCGUUAUAACCGGCGAUUUCCGAAUGGGGAAACCCAGUGUGAUUCGUCACACUAUCAUUAACUGAAUCCAUAGGUUAAUGAGGCGAACCGGGGGAACUGAAACAUCUAAGUACCCCGAGGAAAAGAAAUCAACCGAGAUUCCCCCAGUAGCGGCGAGCGAACGGGGAGCAGCCCAGAGCCUGAAUCAGUGUGUGUGUUAGUGGAAGCGUCUGGAAAGGCGCGCGAUACAGGGUGACAGCCCCGUACACAAAAAUGCACAUGCUGUGAGCUCGAUGAGUAGGGCGGGACACGUGGUAUCCUGUCUGAAUAUGGGGGGACCAUCCUCCAAGGCUAAAUACUCCUGACUGACCGAUAGUGAACCAGUACCGUGAGGGAAAGGCGAAAAGAACCCCGGCGAGGGGAGUGAAAAAGAACCUGAAACCGUGUACGUACAAGCAGUGGGAGCACGCUUAGGCGUGUGACUGCGUACCUUUUGUAUAAUGGGUCAGCGACUUAUAUUCUGUAGCAAGGUUAACCGAAUAGGGGAGCCGAAGGGAAACCGAGUCUUAACUGGGCGUUAAGUUGCAGGGUAUAGACCCGAAACCCGGUGAUCUAGCCAUGGGCAGGUUGAAGGUUGGGUAACACUAACUGGAGGACCGAACCGACUAAUGUUGAAAAAUUAGCGGAUGACUUGUGGCUGGGGGUGAAAGGCCAAUCAAACCGGGAGAUAGCUGGUUCUCCCCGAAAGCUAUUUAGGUAGCGCCUCGUGAAUUCAUCUCCGGGGGUAGAGCACUGUUUCGGCAAGGGGGUCAUCCCGACUUACCAACCCGAUGCAAACUGCGAAUACCGGAGAAUGUUAUCACGGGAGACACACGGCGGGUGCUAACGUCCGUCGUGAAGAGGGAAACAACCCAGACCGCCAGCUAAGGUCCCAAAGUCAUGGUUAAGUGGGAAACGAUGUGGGAAGGCCCAGACAGCCAGGAUGUUGGCUUAGAAGCAGCCAUCAUUUAAAGAAAGCGUAAUAGCUCACUGGUCGAGUCGGCCUGCGCGGAAGAUGUAACGGGGCUAAACCAUGCACCGAAGCUGCGGCAGCGACGCUUAUGCGUUGUUGGGUAGGGGAGCGUUCUGUAAGCCUGCGAAGGUGUGCUGUGAGGCAUGCUGGAGGUAUCAGAAGUGCGAAUGCUGACAUAAGUAACGAUAAAGCGGGUGAAAAGCCCGCUCGCCGGAAGACCAAGGGUUCCUGUCCA